RNAcentral lists this unclassified non-coding RNA (302 nucleotides) under plant metagenome. RNAcentral's name for it is "partial contains small subunit ribosomal RNA, internal transcribed spacer 1, and 5.8S ribosomal RNA". The record is from RNAcentral.
UUUCCGUAGGUGAACCUGCGGAAGGAUCAUUAUUGAAUGAACUUGGCUUGGUUGUUGCUGGCUUCUUUGGAGGCAUGUGCACACCUUGUCAUCUUUAUAUCCCCACCUGUGCACCUCUUGUAGACCUGGAUUCAACAUUUCCGAGGCAACUCGGUCGUGAGGAAUUGCUUAACCAGCUUUCCUUGGUAGUCUCCAGGCCUAUGUUUUUCAUAUACACCAUAAGAAUGUAACAGAAUGUAAUUAUUAGACUUGAUUGUCUUAUAAACUAUAUACAACUUUCAGCAACGGAUCUCUUGGCUCUC